This 259-nucleotide ribosomal RNA is filed under the name uncultured bacterium. RNAcentral describes it as "partial 16S ribosomal RNA". It matches the Rfam family "Bacterial small subunit ribosomal RNA", at positions 793 to 1055 of the family's 1533-position model. The record is from RNAcentral.
GUCCACGCCCUAAACGAUGAUUACUCGAAGUGUGCGAUACACAGCACGCCUCUGAGCGAAAGCAUUAAGUAAUCCACCUGGGAAGUACGUCCGCAAGGAUGAAACUCAAAGGAAUUGACGGGGGCCCCGCACAAGCGGAGGAGCAUGUGGUUUAAUUCGAUGAUACGCGAGGAACCUUACCUGGGCUUGAAAGUUAGUGAAUGCCGUAGAAACAUGGCAGCAAGCAAUUGCACGAAACUAGGUGCUGCAUGGCUGUCGU